RNAcentral lists this long non-coding RNA (203 nucleotides) under Mytilus galloprovincialis (Mediterranean mussel). The record is from RNAcentral. Lineage: Eukaryota; Metazoa; Mollusca; Bivalvia; Mytilida; Mytilidae.
CUACGAUAGAAGAGGGGCAUUAUGUUUUCUGGUCUGUGUCUCCGUUCGUCCGUCCGUCUGUGCGUCCGUUCGCUUCAGGUUAAAGUUUUUGGUCAAGGUAUUUUUUGAAGAAGUUGAAGUCUAAUCAACUUGAAACUUAGUACACAUGUUCCCUAUGAUAUGAUCUUUCUAAUUUUAAUUCCAAAUUAAAGUUUUGACCCCAA